GUCCCAAGGCGCAAGCUAUGUUGAGUCAGCUAGAUAGCAGAAGCAGGAAGAGAGCUGGCCAGAAGGCAUGCACCCGCUGGAAGACCCAGAGAGAGACGAUGAGGAGGUGAGUCACAGGAUGGAUGAAAACUUUCCACAGUCACAGAACUAACAAGUGGUGCUGAGGACUCAAACCCAGGGAAACCCACUGUAGAGCCCAUGCUGGUCAUCCAUAUCCCCAAGGCCCUGGUCAGAACACAGCUAAGCAGACGACUUGGGUCAUCAGGGUGUCAUUACAUCCAAAGGAAGACAGCCUGUGAUGUUUCAAAAGCAAAGUCCCCUACUAGCCAGUAAAGUUAUCUGAUUUCUCAGUAUCUUAUGCCCAGUGACAUGAUCUGCCCUCAAAACUUUUAAAAAAAAGUAAACAUAAACACAUAACAGCAGCAGCAAUAAUUAAAGAUGAGAUGAGAACAAUUAAGAAAAAAGGAAAGUUAGGUCUCCUGUGAGUGUUGUAUUUUUAGGGAAAGAGAGGAAGAAGAAUGAUUUUUGUUUUGAUGACUCUAUAUCAAAGUCUGAGGUUUGAUUAAAGAAAUGACCUUGAACCACAGUAAAGAAAAAUAAAAGACAAUUUCCAGUAAGUAUGCUAGUUCGAAUUAAUGAUUUACUUUUUAUUUUUAAACUGAAUUCAGCAGAGAUUUACAUGCAUUAGGUUAUGAUGAUUAACAUCUGAAAUUUGACCUUGAAAUGAUCUUUACAUUGUAAAUUCUUAAUGAUCAAAACAAGGUUCUCAGUGAUUAAAACAUAUUAGCAAUUAAUUAUUAAAGCAGAAUAAUUGCAAAUACAACAUUCCUAAAAUCUCAAGGCUUUUAAAGCAUUUGUACAAAUGACUGGACAUUUUUUAAAUUUGAAAAAAAAAAAAAUUAAGCCCUCCAUCUGAUUCUCAUUUUCAUUGUCAAUGUAACAACAGAAAAGGUAUGCAAUUCUCUUCUCAUUUUCCAUUGUCUUGCAAGCUAGAAAUUCUCACAAGUACCUUUGAUCCCAUCAAAGCCAAAGAAAGAAAAGAAAAUUGUCCUGUACAGAUCUAUGACAUUAAAAAGUAAUCCCCAAAACGUCUUCUCUAAGGUUAAUAAAAAGUCAGCAGUUUUGAUCAUUUUUUAAAAUCAAUUUAUAAAUAAUUUAGUCACUUAUAGAUGGGACAUGAUCUUCCUGCUAUCCCUAACUACUCUCAUGCCAAAACUGGUCAUAGCACAAGUGGAGCUACCUAGCAAGCUGAUCCGCCCAAAUCAUUUCUACUGGGUUACAAGAUUUUAAGAAAUAACCACGUCUCACACCAUAGAGAACAAUAAUUCAACCAGAUAUCUGUCCCAUAUAUUGUAGGUACUCUCUCUCAAAGCUGUAACUCUUUUUAACUUGGAUAGUCUCACCUAGAGUAGAUCUCUUGUUGACAGAAGGAACCCCAGAAUGUGUACAGGCCAGGGCUGAUUGUGACUUCCACUGGCCAAGAUUGUCCCAGGGCCAGGACGAGGGUCACACAGGUGCACUAGCCUCCCAAGGGCUGAGCAUGUGUGGUCAACCAUCUGGAGGAAGAUAUAAGUACAUCCCCUAAAUUCUCCCCAAUCCAGUCCCUUGUCCCUGGAGUUUCAUUAGAAGUGACAAAGUUGAAUGAAGAAACACAAAAGCA
Molecule: non-coding RNA, 1660 nt
Organism: Chlorocebus sabaeus (green monkey)
Lineage: Eukaryota; Metazoa; Chordata; Mammalia; Primates; Cercopithecidae
Source: RefSeq, a predicted model, not a curated record